CUGCCUGAUGGAUGGGGAUAACUACUGGAAACGGUAACUAAUACCGCAUAACGUCGCAAGACCAAAGAGGGGGACCUUCGGGCCUCUUGCCAUCGGAUGUGCCCAGAUGGGAUUAGCUAGUAGGUGGGGUAACGGCUCACCUAGGCGACGAUCCCUAGCUGGUCUGAGAGGAUGACCAGCCACACUGGAACUGAGACACGGUCCAGACUCCUACGGGAGGCAGCAGUGGGGAAUAUUGCACAAUGGGCGCAAGCCUGAUGCACCCAUGCCGCGUGUAUGAACAAGGCCUUCGGGUUGUAAAGUACUUUCAGCGGGGAGGAAGGGAGUAAAGUUAAUACCUUUGCUCAUUGACGUUACCCGCAGAAAAA
Molecule: ribosomal RNA, 368 nt
Filed under: Escherichia coli
Lineage: Bacteria; Pseudomonadati; Pseudomonadota; Gammaproteobacteria; Enterobacterales; Enterobacteriaceae
Description: bacterial SSU rRNA
Rfam family: Bacterial small subunit ribosomal RNA
Source: RNAcentral